This 725-nucleotide long non-coding RNA is filed under the name Homo sapiens (human). RNAcentral's name for it is "HSALNT0349399". The record is from RNAcentral. Lineage: Eukaryota; Metazoa; Chordata; Mammalia; Primates; Hominidae.
AGAUUCCAAUGUCACUAACGGUUUUCUGAGGGAGUUGGAAAGAGAUAAGAGAGAGACCUUGGGGAACAAUUUUAAAGUGGCUCAAUAGCGAUCGCAGAGCCAAACUCAUACCUACAUCAAUGUGGUGCAGAGAAUCUCUAAGAAUUUUUAAUGCUGAAUUGGAGCAAAGAAACUUCAAGGAGGAAGCAAAGUGAAGAACACAGAUUUCACAGAUGGGAUGCCUGGCUCAAAUUCCAGCUUGACCGCUGGUAGCUGUGUGACCCUCGGCAAGUUACUUGACCUCUCUCUACUCAGUGUCCUCAUCUGUCAGUGUAAUAUGAAUCAGAAAACAUGAACUCAGACUGAUGCUGGAAGCCACCUUAUGACUAUAAGCAGAAUCAGCCUCGUUAUGACGUUGAUGCUAUAAGCAACGGACUGAAAGAUACAAAGAGCAAGCAGACAGGAUGAAAUGCGUAAAUGGCGACAGUAGAGCCAGCCUUCAUGAAUCCAGAAAUGUGAGCCACAUUUUGAGGAUAGCAGAGUCACUGCAGAAGCCUGGAUCCUUGCAUAACCUUGUCGAGUGGGAAAAUCUACCCAUACUUGACCAACCACCUAACUGGGGGCUCUACAUCUGAGAGAAAUGAUUUUUUAUCUUAUUUAAGCCACUGUAGUUAGGAGUCAGUUUAUUACAGGACAUUGCCUGGUGUUCCAACAAAUAAACUACCUUAUUUGUUUCAAUAAAUAAA